RNAcentral lists this ribosomal RNA (463 nucleotides) under uncultured bacterium. RNAcentral describes it as "partial 16S ribosomal RNA". It matches the Rfam family "Bacterial small subunit ribosomal RNA", at positions 28 to 507 of the family's 1533-position model. The record is from RNAcentral.
GACGAACGCUGGCGGCGUGCUUAACACAUGCAAGUCGAGCGGAAAGGCCACUUCGGUGGUACUCGAGCGGCGAACGGGUGAGUAACACGUGAGUAAUCUGCCCCUCACUUUGGGAUAGCCACCGGAAACGGUGAUUAAUACCGGAUAUGACCAUAUGUCGCAUGGCGCGUGGUGGAAAGUUUUUCGGUGAGGGAUGUGCUCGCGGCCUAUCAGCUUGAUGGUGAGGUAAUGGCUCACCAUGGCUUCGACGGGUAGCCGGCCUGAGAGGGUGACCGGUCACACUGGGACUGAGACACGGCCCAGACUCCUACGGGAGGCAGCAGUGGGGAAUAUUGGACAAUGGGCGGAAGCCUGAUCCAGCAACGCCGCGUGAGGGAUGACGGCCUUCGGGUUGUAAACCUCUUUCAGUACCGACGAAGCGCAAGUGACGGUAGGUACAGAAGAAGCACCGGCCAACUACGUG